Molecule: ribosomal RNA, 396 nt
Filed under: uncultured bacterium
Lineage: Bacteria
Description: partial 16S ribosomal RNA
Rfam family: Bacterial small subunit ribosomal RNA
Source: RNAcentral
AUACGUAGGGGGCAAGCGUUAUCCGGAUUCAUUGGGCGUAAAGCGCUCGUAGGCGGCUUGUUAGGUCGGGAGUCAAAUCCCGGGGCUCAACCCCGGCACGCUUCCGAUACCGGCAGGCUUGAGUUUGGGAGGGGAAAGUGGAAUUCCAAGUGUAGCGGUGGAAUGCGCAGAUAUUUGGAAGAACAACAGUGGCGAAGGCGGCUUUCUGGGCCAUAACUGACGCUGAGGAGCGAAAGCUAGGGGAGCAAACAGGAUUAGAUACCCUGGUAGUCCACACUGUAAACGAUGAAUGCUAGGUGUAGGAGGUAUCGACCCCUUCUGUGCCGCAGUAAACACAGUAAGCAUUCCGCCUGGGGAGUACGGUCGCAAGGUUGAAACUCAAAGGAAUUGACGGGG